UGGGGAAUAUUGCACAAUGGGCGCAAGCCUGAUGCAGCCAUGCCGCGUGUGUGAAGAAGGCCUUCGGGUUGUAAAGCACUUUCAGCGGGGAGGAAGGCGAUAAGGUUAAUAACCUUGUCGAUUGACGGUACCCGCAGAAGAAGCACCGGCUAACUCCGUGCCAGCAGCCGCGGUAAUACGGAGGGUGCAAGCGUUAAUCGGAAUUACUGGGCGUAAAGCGCACGCAGGCGGUCUGUCAAGUCGGAUGUGAAAUCCCCGGGCUUAACCUGGGAACUGCAUUCGAAACUGGCAGGCUAGAGUCUUGUAGAGGGGGGUAGAAUUCCAGGUGUAGCGGUGAAAUGCGUAGAGAUCUGGAGGAAUACCGGUGGCGAAGGCGGCCCCCUGGACAAGGACUGACGCUCAGGUGCGAAAGCGUGGGGAGCAAACAGG
RNAcentral lists this ribosomal RNA (429 nucleotides) under Chloroflexota bacterium. RNAcentral describes it as "Chloroflexi bacterium partial 16S ribosomal RNA". It matches the Rfam family "Bacterial small subunit ribosomal RNA", at positions 355 to 776 of the family's 1533-position model. The record is from RNAcentral. Lineage: Bacteria; Bacillati; Chloroflexota.